UGUGAGGUUUUUGUUUAACUUCCCAAAAUCCAGGCAACUUCCAGGGGACUGCUCUCUGACUCCCAGGAGUGUUUCAGACAGCAAGGUGUCCAGCAGCUGUAUCCUUGAAACUGAAUAUCCUGGUGAAGUGGUGAAGUUCCAGACCUGAUGCUCUCAGUGUCUUCUCCGUUCUCUAUGCUGUCAAUGUCCUGUUACAUGAACAACGCAGCUUUUGUUUGUGGGAAAACAGAGGAGGUUGGUGUCUCUGGGGAAGACACCGAAGAAGAUGCAGGCAUGCUGAAGACUUCAGAAAAGUGAGGAAUGAGUCCUUCUGAAAGCUGAAG
This 323-nucleotide long non-coding RNA is filed under the name Cyanoderma ruficeps (rufous-capped babbler). Its description in RNAcentral is "lncRNA (ENSCRFG00000011696.1)". Lineage: Eukaryota; Metazoa; Chordata; Aves; Passeriformes; Timaliidae. The record is from RNAcentral.